This is a long non-coding RNA of Beta vulgaris subsp. vulgaris (sugar beet), 733 nucleotides long. RefSeq lists it as uncharacterized. Lineage: Eukaryota; Viridiplantae; Streptophyta; Magnoliopsida; Caryophyllales; Amaranthaceae. The transcript is spliced from 2 exons. The record is from RefSeq and is a predicted model, not a curated record.
AUUUGAUGUUCACUGCAUCAAGGACCUUUAGACCUUUAAAGCAUGUGAUCAUAAUAUGCCUAAACUCACAAACAUAUUGCAGCUGCAAUAAACAAUUGCACUUGAAAGGUCAUCACAAACUUUGAAAAUUGUAAUUCAUAAAAGCAAUGUUUAAAUUCUCAAUGUCAGAAAAGGCGGCUAUGUAUUCACUCCUUGAUUGACAUUCAACAUGUGGCUUGAUAUAAGCUCCAUUGAACCAUUCAUACUCAUCUUGGAAUGCUUCGAAAACUUUUGGAUCGGAGUGUAUACUUGUCCUAGACUGCCUCAAUAACAUGCAAUACAUGUUUUCAUAUAACCUAAUUAAUCUCAAUUCAAUACUCAUAAAUUCAAUUCGAAUACAAUUGGAGAGAAUGAUAGCUGACGCAAUUGAAGAUGAAGAGAAAUGGCUUUUCGCCGGAAUUGUCGACCUUCAACAAAAUGGUUUCCACACGCACCAUGCUUUGGUAAUUCCCCUCUCUUUUCUUUUCAAUUUCGCAAUUGAAUUUCAGAAACCCUAACUUACAACUUCUCCGGAUUGAUUUUUCAAUCCAAAAUACGCUUUAUAUUACUCGGCUCAGAUGCAAUUGGAGUUGUGUACUUACUACGCUCUAUGUAAAUAUUUUGAUCUGAUUUUGCAAUUGCAGUUGUGAUCGUAAUGCUGUGUAUUUUUAUUGAAAUUGUCUACUUCUAUUUUUGCCUACUUUGGAUGGAUUCA